AUUGAACGCUGGCGGCAUGCUUUACACAUGCAAGUCGAACGGCAGCGCGGUCUUCGCCCUGUCUGCGAGUGGCGAACGGGUGAGUGAUUCAUCAGAACGUCCCCAGUUGUGUUUUAUAGCCCGGCGACGGCCGGAUUAAUACCCCAUUAGACCUGAGGGUGUAAGCGGGGGACCGAAGGGCCUUCCGCUCUUGCACGGUCCGAUGUCGGAUUAGCUAGUUGGUUGGGUAAAGGCUUACCAAGGCGACGAUCCGUAGCUGGUCUGAGAGGAUGAUCAGCCACACUGGGACUGAGACACGGCCCAGACUCCUACGGGAGGCAGCAGUGGGGAAUAUUGGACAAUGGGGGCAACCCUGAUCCAGCCAUGCCGCGUGCGGGAAGAAGGCCUUCGGGUUGUAAACCGCUUUUGUUCGGGAAGAAAACCUCUGGGCUAAUACCCCGGGGGGAUGACGGUACCGGAAGAAUAAGCACCGGCUAACUACGUG
Molecule: ribosomal RNA, 484 nt
Filed under: uncultured bacterium
Lineage: Bacteria
Description: partial 16S ribosomal RNA
Rfam family: Bacterial small subunit ribosomal RNA
Source: RNAcentral